AACAUUUGAUUUUAAAACAUUAAACAUUAUCUGCCUAAGUAAUUACAAAAUAGUUAAACUUAUAUUAAAAAGAUUCAACUCCUGUGCAAGUAUUUGAAAAGGAAAUAAGCUGAGGACAGAGGAUGCCAAUUUUUGAUGUAACAGUCACGGGCGGAGAGGUCAGGACUUCUGUGAGUGGAGCUUGACGAGGGAGGAAAACUGCAAGAUGCCUGGGCUCUGAUCACAUUCAUCCUGUUCCAAAGAUGCCUCAAGACUCACUCCUAUUUUUCCAACAUUCUCCUAGACAAUGACAUUAACAACUGGCCCAGCAGAGUCAUAACCAUUCUGAGGAAAAUAAAGUCCAGAAAAAUCAUAGUUUGCUCUGGAAAAAGGAUGGUGGAUGGAGGGAUGGAUAUUUGGUGCCAUGUGCUGCUUUGUUUGCAACAGCCAUUGAUGAACAUAUUAAAAGAUGUUUUUCAAAAUGCUUGGUGGUAUCUGUGUAAUUUGACUGAACUACGUGAUAGGCUAAGGAAAACUGACCCAUACCAAAUAAGCCUGGUAGAUAUUCUUCAACAAAGAGUGAAUUUGGGGAAAUGAAGAAAUGGAUGUAAUAAGUGUAGGUAGAUUUAAAUGGACAUUGUAAAAAAAAAAAAAGAAAAAAAAGAAAGAAAGAAAUGGGGAGAAUAUUUUGAAAGGGAACUCAAAGCUUUCAGCCCAUUUGCAGGCCAAGGUGUAAAAGUCCAGAAACAAGGAGAAAUUCAAGACUCAAGAAGGAGAGAGGAUUAUGAUGGCAGAAUAGAAGGACUGGAGCUCAACUUCUCUCCUAAAAACAACAAAAUUCACAACUAAAGAUUGAGCAAUCUCCACCCAAAUGGACCAGAAACCUUAAAAAUGAUACCCUACUCCAGAAGAAAAAGAGGAGGCCACAUCAAGAGGUAGGAGGGGCGAUUUCAGGAUAUAAACAACCCCAUACCUCCCAGGUGGGAAACUCCACAGACUGAAAACUAACUGAUUCACAGAGACUCACCUACAGGAGUGAGAGUUCUGAGCCCCACAUCAAACCUUCACCUGUGGGGAUCUGGCACUGGGAGAAAGAGUCCCUGGAGCAUCUGGCUUUGAAGCCUAGUGGGGUUUGUGUGCAGGAGCUUCACAGGACUGGGGGAAACAGAGACCCCAUUCUUAAAAGGCACACAUGGACUUUCACAUGCACUGAGUCCCAGGGCAGAACAAGGUCUCCACAGGAAUCUGGGUCAAAUAUGACUGCAGUUCUUGGAGGACAUCCUGGGGGAAAAGGGGUGAAUGUGGCUUGUGAGGGAGGGACAUUGAAGGCAAAGCGCUUGGGAAUAUUCAGCAACCCUGCCUUUCUCUGGAGGUGGCCAUUUUGGGAAAAUCUGGCCCCACCCAUCAAUCAGUGCUGAGAAGCCCCAGGGCAAACAACAAUCCAGGUGGGAUCACAGUCCUGCCCCUCAGUAAACAGGCUACCUAAAGACUCCUCAGGCACACAGCUGCCUCUAAUCCCAUCCAGAGACUAAGCCCCACCCACCAUAGGGAUUAGAAUCAGCUCCACCUACCAGUGGGCAGGCAUCAGUCCCUCCCAUCAGGAAGCCUACAGCAAGCCCCCAUACUAACUUCAGAUGCAAGGGGGGGCAGAUACCAGAAGUAAGAGAGGCUACAACUCUAUUAUCUAUAAAAAUGUCACCACACCAAAAACCUAUAAAAGUGAAAAGAUAGGGAACUAUAACUCAGAUGAGGGAGAAAGGAAAAUCCCCAGAAAAACAGCUAAGCGAUGAGGAGAUUCUUAGUCUCCAGGAAAAAGACUUUGGAUAGUUGAUGCUGAAGAUGAUGCAAGACAUUGGAAAUAAACUGGAGGCUAAGAUGGAUAACUUACAGGAAACACUGACCAAAGAGAUACAAGAUAUAAAACUUAAACAAGAAGAGAUGCAAAAUACAAUAACUGAAAUAAAAAAUUCACUAGAAGCAGCUAACAGCAGAAUACAGGAGGCAGAAGAACGAAUAAGCGAGGUGGAGGACAUAUUAGUGGAAAUUACACAUGCAGAACGGAAAAGAGAAAAAAGAUUGAAAAUAAAUGAAGAGUCUCAGAGAACUCUGGGACAACAUUAAAUGCACCAACAUCCAUAUUAUAGGGGUGCCAGAAGGAGAAGAGAGAGAGAAGGGGACAGAGAAUAUAUUCCAAGAGAUAAUAGCCGAAAACUUCCCUAACAUGGGAAAGGAACCACUCACUCAAAUCCAGGAAGCACGAGUACCAUAUAAAAUAAACACAUGUUAAUCAAACUGACCAAAAUUAAAGACAGAGAAAAUCUUGAAAGCAUGAUAUACUUAAUGUGAUGAAAGGAACAAACCUCAAACCAAGAUUACUUUACCCAGCAAGGCUCUCAUUCAGAUUUGAAGGAGAAAUCAAAACCUUCACAGAUAAGCAAAAGUUGAGAGAAUUUGGUAACACUAAACCAGCCUUACGACAAAUACUAAAGGAACUUCUCUAGGCAGGAAAGAAAAGACAGCAACAGGAAACAAAAAUUCCACAAAUGACAAGGCUCACCAGUAAAGGUAUAUAUACAGCAAAGAUAACGAAAUCAUCCAUGCACAAUUAUACCACCAAAAUCAGAAAUCAUGAGAAAAGGUGGGUACAAAUGCAGGACACUGGAGAUGAACUUGCAAUUAAGAGAACAACAACUUAAUCUCAUAUACAUAUAGACUCUUAUAUCAAAACUUCAGAAUAACCAAACCAAAAAUACGGUUGAUACACAAACAGGGACUCUCUGGAGAAGAAAUAUAUCUCAUAGUAAAUAAGUGCAUAAUCCACCAUGAAGUGGGUCAUUCAACAUCAUUCUUGGAAUGCUGAAGUCUUCUUACAUCUGAUUCUGAUUUCCUCUCCAUCAAAGAACUUAUGAUAAUUAUAAUUAAAUAAUGCCACUGUACAAUUAAAUGAUACAGUUCUACACUUGUAUUAUUAAUAACCAUUUCUCUCCAUGGUACAAUGUAAGAUCUAUAAUGUCUUAUUUAUCACAUCACCUAGAAUGGCAUAUUGCCUAUAUUGAAGAAUCAAUAAGAUGUAACAAAUUGUGAGGACAUAUUUAUAGAGUUACACUGUUUUUUAACCAAUUUAUGCAUUUUAUAUUUUACUUAUUUUCAGAGGGUAUAUUAUUUUUGUUAUUCUUACCAGUUAAGUUAUUCUUUUUGUUAUGCUAUAUAAAGUAUUUAAUGGUAUGUAAGGGUUUCUUCUUUAUAAAUUUUAGUUGCAUAAUAUAACAAUUUUAAUAUAAUGCCAAUUUUUAAGGAAAAAUUGAAAUGUAAUAGAUAAUACUAGAUGGAUGAAAGCCAUACAAAAUGGGAUAAAGUAUAGAAUAAAUUUCCUAUUCGUCUCAGCAUAUUUUCCAUUCCACUUCUCCAGUGGGGGUCACUUAAUCUGUUUCUUAAGAUCCAUGAUAUAGUAGUCUGUGUGAAUGUAAUUGUGUUUAAAUGUAUGUAUUUAAUCUGUAAAAAAUAAAAAUAAAAUUUCAGAAUAAAAAAAAAAAGACU
RNAcentral lists this long non-coding RNA (3516 nucleotides) under Sus scrofa (pig). RNAcentral describes it as "lncRNA (ENSSSCG00000056258.1)". Lineage: Eukaryota; Metazoa; Chordata; Mammalia; Artiodactyla; Suidae. The record is from RNAcentral.